UGGAUGUCCGAAGAACAGCGUUGGAGCACCUGUUGGAGCUCUAUGGAAAGUCCUCGGACGAUGCCGAAAGGGCAGUCUUAAAUGACUUCUUUCAUCAUCGAGAUAGAAUAAUGCUGUUAGGUAUGGGUCUGCCCAACUGAAUGAGGCUUACUCUCGGGCAUCU
Molecule: RNase MRP RNA, 163 nt
Filed under: Encephalitozoon cuniculi GB-M1
Lineage: Eukaryota; Fungi; Microsporidia; Unikaryonidae
Description: RNase MRP
Rfam family: RNase MRP
About the family: RNase MRP is an enzymatically active ribonucleoprotein with two distinct roles in eukaryotes. In mitochondria it plays a direct role in the initiation of mitochondrial DNA replication.
Source: Rfam by way of RNAcentral